AGAGUUUGAUCAUGGCUCAGAACGAACGCUGGCGGCAGGCCUAAUACAUGCAAGUCGAACGGGCGUAGCAAUACGUCAGUGGCGCACGGGUGCGUAACGCGUGGGAAUCUGCCCUCUGGUACGGAAUAACUCAGGGAAACUUGAGCUAAUACCGUAUAAUGACUUCGGUCCAAAGAUUUAUCGCCUGAGGAGGAGCCCGCGUCGGAUUAGCUAGUUGGUGAGGUAAAGGCUCACCAAGGCUACGAUCCGUAGCUGGUCUGAGAGGAUGAUCAGCCACACUGGGACUGAGACACGGCCCAGACUCCUACGGGAGGCAGCAGUGGGGAAUAUUGGACAAUGGGCGCAAGCCUGAUCCAGCAAUGCCGCGUGAGUGAUGAAGGCCUUAGGGUUGUAAAGCUCUUUUACCCGGGAUGAUAAUGACAGUACCGGGAGAAUAAGCCCCGGCUAACUCCGUGCCAGCCGCCGCGGUAAUAC
RNAcentral lists this ribosomal RNA (474 nucleotides) under uncultured bacterium. RNAcentral's name for it is "bacterial SSU rRNA". It matches the Rfam family "Bacterial small subunit ribosomal RNA", at positions 8 to 526 of the family's 1533-position model. The record is from RNAcentral.